This is a long non-coding RNA of Eucalyptus grandis, 507 nucleotides long. RefSeq lists it as uncharacterized. The record is from RefSeq and is a predicted model, not a curated record. Lineage: Eukaryota; Viridiplantae; Streptophyta; Magnoliopsida; Myrtales; Myrtaceae. The transcript is spliced from 5 exons.
GAGUCUCAGGAUCUCUGCUCCAGUUGUAGGGAUAGAAUAAUCGGGCUGUGAUCCAAGCCUAUUGUUGGUAGGGCAAAAGUCUGCACAUUUGGGUGUAAGCACAGCCCUUGCUCUCAAGAUCCAUCAAAGAACAAUCAUCUAAAAAACCCCGGAAGGCUGCCAUUUUGUAUCGGUCUACCUCCCUACAACCAACCUUUUCCCAAUGAUAAAGUUAUCACAGUACUUGUCUUGAGCGGGUUGGACAAGUUAAGCAACACUCUGGCUUUUCCACUUUUCUUGGAGUUAGCACCUCUCACCUCAAUUUUUAUCUCAUCUAUUGUCCCCAGUUUAAAGGCUAAGAGGCGUAUGGCUUCUUCAUGAACUCUGGCACGAGGAAGACCUAUAAAGUGAACCCAUAACGCAUAAUGCGUGAAUUCAUAACAGUGCUCAGAAUGUCAUCCCUUAGAUCCUGAAGUCUUCUUCAGACCACAGAUCUCCCAUUCUCCGACACACCACCGCUAAUCGAAG